Molecule: ribosomal RNA, 494 nt
Filed under: uncultured bacterium
Lineage: Bacteria
Description: partial 16S ribosomal RNA
Rfam family: Bacterial small subunit ribosomal RNA
Source: RNAcentral
GACGAACGCUGGCGGCGUGCUUAACACAUGCAAGUCGAACGGUGAAGCGCCUUCCUUUUUGGUGGGUGUGGAUGAGUGGCGAACGGGUGAGUAACCCGUGAGUAACCUGCCCCCUUCUUCUGGAUAACCGCAUGAAAGUGUGGCUAAUACGGGAUAUUCUGGGUCUGUCGCAUGAUGGGUCUGGGAAAGAUAUUGUUUCGGUGGGGGAUGGGCUCGCGGCCUAUCAGCUUGUUGGUGGGGUGAUGGCCUACCAAGGCGGUGACGGGUAGCCGGCCUGGGAGGGUGGACGGUCACACUGGGACUGAGACACGGCCCAGACUCCUACGGGAGGCAGCAGUGGGGAAUAUUGAACAGUGGGCGCAAGCGUGAUGCAGCGACGCCGCGGGAGGGAUGGAGGCCUUCGGGUUGUGAACCUCUUUCGCCAGUGAAGCAGGCCUGCCUCGUUUGUGGGUGGGUUGACGGUAGCUGGAUAAGAAGCGCCGGCUAACUACGUG